RNAcentral lists this ribosomal RNA (545 nucleotides) under uncultured delta proteobacterium. Its description in RNAcentral is "bacterial SSU rRNA". It matches the Rfam family "Bacterial small subunit ribosomal RNA", at positions 9 to 527 of the family's 1533-position model. The record is from RNAcentral. Lineage: Bacteria; Deltaproteobacteria.
GAGUUUGAUCAUGGCUCAGAAUGAACGCUGGCGGCGUGCUUAACACAUGCAAGUCGUACGAGAACUCUUUAGCUUGCUAAGGAUAGUAAAGUGGCGUACGGGUGAGUAACGCGUGGGUAAUCUACCCCUGAAUCUGGAAUAACAUUGCGAAAGCGAUGCUAAUACCGGAUAAUAUCUGAAUUAGACUUCUUUUUCAGAUCAAAGGUGGCCUCUAUGAAUAAGCUACUGUUUGGGGAUGAGCCCGCGUACCAUUAGCUAGUUGGUAGGGUAAUGGCCUACCAAGGCAACGAUGGUUAGCUGGUCUGAGAGGAUGAUCAGCCACACUGGAACUGACACACGGUCCAGACUCCUACGGGAGGCAGCAGUGAGGGAUUUUGCGCAAUGGGGGAAACCCUGACGCAGCAACGCCGCGUGAGUGAUGAAGGCUUUAGGGUCGUAAAGCUCUGUCGAGUGGGAAGAACAAAAAAGGUUAUAAUACACCUUUUUCUGACGGUACCACCAAAGGAAGCACCGGCUAACUCCGUGCCAGCAGCCGCGGUAAUACG